GUUGGAGAAUGGGCAAAUACAGGGUCCGAAAUGAACAGGAAAUCUUCAAGCCAGGUUGAUCUUCUUCGAAUUGAGACACUGUAUCAUGCAGAUAAGGAGAAAACAGAAGCAUAUAUUCUUGAAUUAGUGGUGUGGCUCCAUUAUCUUGUCAGUCAGUCGAAACGUGCUAAUGCUGGAGUGAGAUCUCCAGUAAAAUCUCCAAUCUGUUCCCCUAAUCAAAAGACGAUUGAGUUGUCUAAUCACCAAUCAAGCUCUCCAUCAUCCCCAUUAUCGGUUGAAGACCAAGAAAUGCUCCGCGAUGUAAGCAAGAGAAAACUCACUCCAGGGAUUAGCAAGUCUCAAGAAUUUGCAAAAACAGGGUUGAGCAAGUACAACAGGCUGAGUAAGAGCAAUAGCCAUUCACCUAUAAAUGAAACCAGAAAGAACCCGUUCCCUAUCAAGAGACCGUCUUCUGUUCCAGUGUUUGACUUUGACACUGAUCGCUUGAAAGCUUUGGAUGUCAUCGACAGGGUGGACACAGUUAGAGGUGCAUAAUUGGUACAACACUAGGCUGCAUUGCCAUGUUCAUAGUGUGAUAGUAUGUUUAUUUACUGCAUUGGCAAAACGUAAAUAGAGAGCACAAGUUUUAGUUAGCUGUACAUUGGCUAUAUUAUGAUGGCCUACAAAUGCUUCCCUUGUGUUAUGUCCUGUUUGUGUCUGGGAACUGGAUUGUCCCUAACGCGAACUAGAUCAGAUAUCUGUUUGCAAUUCAGGGUUUCGCGAUGAGUGGAAGUGAUCUUUCUUCUCAUUUUUGUUUUCUCAGAGGGAAAUUAGGGUUCGGAACCGGAACAACCAUGGUGGAUAAGUGGAUGGCACAAGGAGAUGGAGUAGAGUCCCUUCUUCUUUUUAGGUGGAGACAAAGUGUCUUAGAGCUCUAUUGUAAUGUUUGAAAUAACUAGGAAAAAGUUGAUGUUUUUCUCAUUAUCAACCUUUAUACAAUUAUAUCAAAUAGAGCAAAGAAUUACAAACAGGAA
This 1013-nucleotide unclassified non-coding RNA is filed under the name Hevea brasiliensis (rubber tree). Lineage: Eukaryota; Viridiplantae; Streptophyta; Magnoliopsida; Malpighiales; Euphorbiaceae. The record is from RNAcentral.